CUUGAUGAGUUCACCCAUAACAAAGUGAGAAGAGAAAGGGAGAAAGAAAGGAAGAAAGGAGGAAGAAGAAAAAGGAAAGGAUAGAUCGGUUUAGUGAACUCGAGACAAGUAAGUAGCAAGAAUCUACAAGGAUUCAAGGGACCUGAGGCAUGCAUGUAGGUAGAUCUUAGAAUGCAUGGUGAUUUUGGAGCUAAAUAAGCAAUGGCAAAGGUGACCUUAGAUGUGAGGAAGUUGUGAAUCAUAUUUGAAAAUUCAAGCUUAAACCGAGAGUUAAGUAAUCGGUACAAGUGCACCGCUCAGCAGAUCAAGACUAGCUGCAACGUAGGUAAUGGCAUCUCUUAGACUUCCACUCCGAGUUGCUCCGUUGCCUAAAGGUCAUGUUGUGUCAAAUAGUCAGACUUAUAAUGAUAAAUAGUUUAUGAAAAUGUAUUUGCUAAACCUCGAGGUUUUGUAAUGAUUACCACUUAUUAUGUUGAAUAUGUUGUGGACUUAUUAAACCAGGUUAUUGGU
Molecule: long non-coding RNA, 510 nt
Organism: Theobroma umbraticum
Lineage: Eukaryota; Viridiplantae; Streptophyta; Magnoliopsida; Malvales; Malvaceae
Source: RefSeq, a predicted model, not a curated record